Molecule: long non-coding RNA, 460 nt
Organism: Saccostrea cuccullata (small rock oyster)
Lineage: Eukaryota; Metazoa; Mollusca; Bivalvia; Ostreida; Ostreidae
Exons: 3
Source: RefSeq, a predicted model, not a curated record
UGGAAUUGUACAAAAUGUCAUCCUGGAACGACAACUCUUUCAAAAGGAGCAGACAGAUGUAUUGAACUGUGUUCGACAGGAAAAGAAUAUGACGCAAAAACAGAAAAAUGUUACCCCUGUAAACUUGGUUUUUUUCAAAAACAUCAGUGGAAGCAAUAUUAACUGUUCUUCGUGUCCAAAUAACUACACUACCUAACAUUUUGGAGCAAUGUAAAAGAGCUAAUUGCUGGUUCCCAUGUAACAGAGUGCAUAAGCCAAAGAACUAUACAAAUGAACAAUUGGCAAAAGUAAUAGAAGGGUUGAAGAAAGAACUUAUUGUUAAUAAAACACAACUUUCGUCCAACACGAGAAAAAAGAUCAGCGUAAUGGACAGUCGUCCGUCAUCUCAGUCGAUUGGAGUGUUGGGUGUUGUCAUGAUCACCACGGUGUUUGCCGUCAUUAUUGCAACUGACUUCAUGAU